AGCAGCCGCGGUAAUUCCAGCUCCAAUAGCGUAUAUUAAAGUUGUUGCAGUUAAAAAGCUCGUAGUUGAAUUUCGGGGUUAGUAGGUUGGUCAUGCCUCUGGUAUGUACUGGUCUCACUGAUUCCUCCUUCCUGAUGAGCCGUAAUGCCAUUAAUUUGGUGUUGCGGGGAAUUUGGACUGUUACUUUGAAAAAUUAGAGUGUUUAAAGCAAGCUAACGCUUGAAUACAUUAGCAUGGAAUAAUGAAAUAGGACGUUUGAUUCUAUUUUGUUGGUUUCUAGGAUCGACGUAAUGAUUAAUAGGGAUAGUUGGGGGCAUUAGUAUUCAAUUGUCAGAGGUGAAAUUCUUGGAUUUAUUGAAGACUAACUACUGCGAAAGCAUUUGCCAAGGAUGUUUUCAUUAAUCAAGAACGAAAGUUAGGGGAUCGAAGACGAUCAGAUACCGUCGUAGUCUUAACCAUAAACUAUGCCGACUAGGGAUCGGAUGAUGUUAAUUUUUUAAUGUACUCAUUCGGCGCCUUA
This 520-nucleotide ribosomal RNA is filed under the name uncultured Glomus. Its description in RNAcentral is "SSU rRNA". It matches the Rfam family "Eukaryotic small subunit ribosomal RNA", at positions 569 to 1090 of the family's 1831-position model. The record is from RNAcentral. Lineage: Eukaryota; Fungi; Glomeromycota; Glomeromycetes; Glomerales; Glomeraceae.